Exaiptasia diaphana is the source of this 508-nucleotide long non-coding RNA. RefSeq lists it as uncharacterized. The transcript has 4 exons. NCBI's taxonomy places the organism in Eukaryota, Metazoa, Cnidaria, Anthozoa, Actiniaria, Aiptasiidae. The record is from RefSeq and is a predicted model, not a curated record.
GGGUCAUACUACUUYCCMGGAAGUUCGUCCAGUUMCAUUGACGUACAGAAAGAUCCGAAAACAGACACAAGGUAUUCUAUUACUGUGAGUGCAUGGAUCUACUACCAAGGAACACCGGGUCCACUCUUGCACUACGACACGGAAGCAUCUUCUUGGGCAUUUAAUUUCUAUGUAUUAGAUGGUCCACAGUUAUACAUAAAUUUCGUAAAAAGGGAUCUUGACGCUAGUUCACCUGUCAUAAGGGAAACCAUUUCGCUAUUAAACAGUUGGAAGUACUCUGCCUAUACAUACGACUACAACACAGGGAUCCAAAAGCUAUAUGUUGACGGAGUUCUGAUUAAGAGCAAGGACAUUGGCAAACAUGAGAUAGCUACACAAUUCAAGAUCAAAAUAGGAGGACAGAAAAAUGGAGAAUCAAGGUCUUUCAAGGGAAGGAUCUCAUGUAUUCAAAUAUACGAACAAGCUUUGACCAGAGACAAGAUUCUGGAGGCAAAAAAGUACUGCAGCA